UACGUAGGGUGCGAGCGUUAAUCGGAAUUACUGGGCGUAAAGCGUGCGCAGGCGGUUUCUUAAGUCAGAUGUGAAAGCCCCGGGCUUAACCUGGGAACUGCGUUUGAAACUGGGAGACUCGAGUGUGGCAGAGGGGGGUGGAAUUCCACGUGUAGCAGUGAAAUGCGUAGAUAUGUGGAGGAACACCGAUGGCGAAGGCAGCCCCCUGGGUUAACACUGACGCUCAUGCACGAAAGCGUGGGGAGCAAACAGG
This 253-nucleotide ribosomal RNA is filed under the name uncultured bacterium. RNAcentral's name for it is "partial 16S ribosomal RNA". It matches the Rfam family "Bacterial small subunit ribosomal RNA", at positions 524 to 776 of the family's 1533-position model. The record is from RNAcentral.